Molecule: ribosomal RNA, 274 nt
Filed under: uncultured bacterium
Lineage: Bacteria
Description: partial 16S ribosomal RNA
Rfam family: Bacterial small subunit ribosomal RNA
Source: RNAcentral
AUACGGAGGGUGCAAGCGUUGUCCGGAAUCAUUGGGUUUAAAGGGUCCGCAGGCGGAUUAAUAAGUCAGUGGUGAAAUCCUCUCGCUCAACGAGAGAACUGCCAUUGAAACUGUUAGUCUUGAAUUCGGUCGAAGUAGGCGGAAUGUGUCAUGUAGCGGUGAAAUGCAUAGAUAUGACACAGAACACCGAUAGCGAAGGCAGCUUACUAGACCUGGAUUGACGCUCAUGGACGAAAGCGUGGGGAGCGAACAGGAUUAGAAACCCCAGUAGUCC